GACGAACGCUGGCGGCGUGCUUAACACAUGCAAGUCGAACGGAAAGGCCCUGCUUUUGUGGGGUGCUCAGUGGCGAACGGGUGAGUAACACGUGAGUAACCUGCCCUUGACUUUGGGAUAACUUCAGGAAACUGGGGCUAAUACCGGAUAGGAGCUCCUGCUGCAUGGUGGGGGUUGGAAAGUUUCGGCGGUUGGGGAUGGACUCGCGGCUUAUCAGCUUGUUGGUGGGGUAGUGGCUUACCAAGGCUUUGACGGGUAGCCGGCCUGAGAGGGUGACCGGCCACAUUGGGACUGAGAUACGGCCCAGACUCCUACGGGAGGCAGCAGUGGGGAAUAUUGCACAAUGGGCAGAAGCCUGAUGCAGCAACGCCGCGUGCGGGAUGACGGCCUUCGGGUUGUAAACCGCUUUCGCCUGUGACGAAGCGUGAGUGACGGUAAUGGGUAAAGAAGCACCGGCUAACUACGUG
Molecule: ribosomal RNA, 467 nt
Filed under: uncultured bacterium
Lineage: Bacteria
Description: partial 16S ribosomal RNA
Rfam family: Bacterial small subunit ribosomal RNA
Source: RNAcentral